This 250-nucleotide ribosomal RNA is filed under the name uncultured bacterium. Its description in RNAcentral is "partial 16S ribosomal RNA". It matches the Rfam family "Bacterial small subunit ribosomal RNA", at positions 524 to 773 of the family's 1533-position model. The record is from RNAcentral.
AACGUAGGGGACAAGCGUUAUCCGGAUUUACUGGGCGUAAAGCGCCCGUAGGCGGCUUUUUAAGUUGGACGUGAAAGCUCCCGGCUUAACUGGGAGAGGCCGUUCAAAACUGGAAAGCUCGAGUGAGGAAGAGGAGAGCAGAAUUCCCGGUGUAGUGGUGGAAUGCGUAGAGAUCGGGAGGAAUGCCAGUGGCGAAAGCGGCUCUCUGGUCCUAAACUGACGCUGAGGGGCGAAAGCGUGGGGAGCGAAC